This 1472-nucleotide ribosomal RNA is filed under the name uncultured Bordetella sp. RNAcentral describes it as "partial 16S-23S ribosomal RNA intergenic spacer". It matches the Rfam family "Bacterial small subunit ribosomal RNA". Lineage: Bacteria; Pseudomonadati; Pseudomonadota; Betaproteobacteria; Burkholderiales; Alcaligenaceae. The record is from RNAcentral.
AAGUUCGAUGUAUCGAAUUCAUUUGGCGGAUCUUACUUGAUCAGGCUUGCUGCCGGACUUUGAUCUGGUGGCGAGUGGCGAACGGGUGAGUAAUGUAUCGGAACGUGCCUAGUAGCGGGGGAUAACUACGCGAAAAGCGUAGCUAAUACCGCAUCCGCUGCCUCAAGGAAAGCGGGGAUUCUUCGAACUCACCUGUAAAAGCAACUGAUAUCGGAUUAGCUGGUUAAUGACAGAAUAACGGCUCACCAAGGCGACGAUAGCUGGUUUUGAGAGGACGACCAGCCACACUGGGACUGAAGACACGGCCCAGACUCCUACGGGAGGCAGCAGUGGGGAAUUUUGGACAAUGGGGGAAACCCUGAUCCAGCCAUCCCGCGUGUGCGAUGAAGGCCUUCGGGUUGUAAAGCACUUUUGGCAGGAAAAGCGGCACGGGAUAAUACCCCGUGCAACUGACGAACACCUGCAGAAUAAGCACCGGCUAACGCUACGUAUGGCAGCCGCGGUAAUAUACGUAGGGUGCAAGCGUUAAUCGGAAUUACUGGGCGUAAAGCGUGCGCAGGCGGUUCGGAAAGAAAGAUGUAAAUCCAGAGCUUACUUUGGAACUGCAUUUUUUUUAACUACCGAGCUAGAGUGUGUCAGAGGGAGGUGGAAUUCCGCGAUGUAGCAGUGAAAUGCGUAGAUAUGCCGGAGGAACACCGAUGGCGGCGCAACCUCCUGGGAUAACGGCGCUCUGUGCACGAAAGCGUGGGGAGCAAACAGGAUUAGAUACCCUGGUAGUCCACGCCCUAAACGAUGUCAACUAGCUGUUGGGGCCUUCGGGAGCGCCGUAGCCUGAAUGCCGUGAAGUUGACCGCCUGGGAAGUACAGAUACUAAGACAAACUCAAAGGAAUUGACGGGGACCCGCACAACGGUGGAUGAUGUGGAUUAAUUCGAUGCAACGCGAAAAACCUUACCUACCCUUGACAUGUCUGGAAUCCCGAAGAGACUGGAGUACUCUACGAGAACCGGAACACAGGUGCUGCAUGGCUGUCGUCAACUCGUGUCGUGAGAUGUUGGGUUGAUCCCGCAACGACGCAACCUUGUGUGGAGUGCCGAAGGGCACUCAAGCAGUUAUGGUAAUCGACUGGGAGGAAGGUGGGGAUAGCGUCCAAGUCCUCAUGGCCCUUAUGGGUAGGGCUUCACACGUCAUACAAUGUUCAGGACGAGAUCUGCUCGCUCACGAGGGAGCCAAUCCAAAGCACCAAAUCGUCGUCCGGAUCACCGUCAACUCGUUUCCGUGAAGUCGAUCUUCAAUAAUCUGGAUCGCGUAUCGCGAUGGUACGUUCCGGUCUUAUUACUGUCACACCAUGGAAUUAGUUUUACCGAUGGUCAGCUAACUUUCUUCAGGAGGGCGAUUACCACGGUAGGAUUCAUGACUGGGGUGAAGUCGUAACUAAGGUAACUCUGUUGCUACCCCGAUGUCCAAGAUGGC